AGCAGCCGCGGUAAUUCCAGCUCCAAUAGCGUAUAUUAAAGUUGUUGCAGUUAAAAAGCUCGUAGUUGAAUUUCGGAGUUUGUCGGUUGGUCGGGCUUCACUGUCCGCACUGACCUGAUGGAUUCCUACCUUCUGAAUAACCAGCAUGCUAUUAAGUUAGUGCGUUGGGGAAGCAGAGCUAUUACCUUGAAAAAAUUAGAGUGCUUAAAGCAGGCUUAUGCUUGAAUAGAUUAGCAUGGAAUAAUAAAAUAGGACGGCAUGGUUCUAUUUUGUUGGUUUCUAGGAUCACCGUAAUGAUUAAUAGGGAUAGUUGGGGGCAUUAGUAUUCAAUUGUCAGAGGUGAAAUUCUUGGAUUUAUUGAAGACUAACUUCUGCGAAAGCAUUUGCCAAGGAUGUUUUCAUUAAUCAAGAACGAAAGUUAGGGGAUCGAAGACGAUCAGAUACCGUCGU
This 450-nucleotide ribosomal RNA is filed under the name uncultured Glomeromycotina. RNAcentral describes it as "SSU rRNA". It matches the Rfam family "Eukaryotic small subunit ribosomal RNA", at positions 569 to 1021 of the family's 1831-position model. The record is from RNAcentral. Lineage: Eukaryota; Fungi; Glomeromycota.